UUCCCACAUUUAGCUAAACCUUCUAAGGUUUCUUACAUCUGUACUUCUUACAUCAUGUCUUUAACUGUCACCACAGCUCUGUUUCACUCACUGACCACUGAUCUCGAUGAGAUCAUCAUGCCAGUAGAUGGUACUGAACUCCAUCUAGUGUUUGGAGACAUCACUAAUGAGACUACUGAUGCCAUCGUGAACACCACUGACUUUAAGGACUUCCAGACAGCUGGAGUGUGUAAGGACAUCCUUACUAAGGCAGGAUCUCAAAUCCAGGCUCAACUGACAGGCGCUCAGGUAGCAAGAGGGCAGAUAUUCACGACCCCACCAGGAGGCUUCCCCUGUAAGACCAUCAUGCAUGUUUGUGGACUGAGGGACCCUGGUGUUAUCGAGACCUUGGCAAAAGAAAUAGUGGUUCAAAGUGAGCAGGGCUGCUACAGGUCUGUGGCCAUCCCUGCGAUCUGUGCUGGACAAGGAGGUUUGGAUCCAAAUGUGGUGGCCAAAUCCAUUCUAGAGGGAGUAAAGGAUGGUGUUCAAGGAGCAAAUCUUCAACAUCUCAAAUGCAUUCGGAUUGUUCUGCUGAAGAUUAAUGUUUUCCUGGCAUUCAAAGCAACUGCAAAGCAAAUCUUUAGUGGUAAUACACAGUUCACAGCUCCUGCACCACUUGUAUCUACCAGUGUAAUCACCAGAGGGCGCAGUGCAUCAACUAGAUCAAGCAGAUCACGUUCCUUAACCUCACCAGUCACUUUGGACUUGAGUUCUCUAGUGACAUCUUUGCCUGACACAGAGAGCAGAGCAGCAUUUCUAGUCAUUGGUCACACCGAUAAUGAAGUGUCUGAUGCCUGUAGAGAACUUCAGCAGGCAUAUAAGGACCAGUGCUCCACACACACUUUCUAUCCUCAUGUGAUCAGGUGCCUCACUCGGGAAGAGAUGGAGCAGCUGCUCUCUAUUCUGAAUUCUAAAUAUCUGCAGAUGGAGCAGAGUUCUGAUAGAUGGAUAGUAAAAGGACUGAAGGAUGGAGUGAAUAAGCUGGUUAGACUGAUACAAGAUGCACUUUGUAGACAGGUAAGAGCCCAGGAGCAGUCCAUCCUCUUCAAUGAAGUCACAUGGUGCAUUCUGGGAUCACGGGGCAUUUGGCAGAAGGUACCAAUAGACAUGAAUUAUAAGCUUGAGAAAAAAGAUGUGGAAGAUGGAAUUGUGGAUGCACAGGGUGUGAAAUGGACUGUGAAUCUGAGAAAGAUGGAGGCCAAAGCAUGUCAUUCAGGAGAGGUGACCGCUCUCAAACGACUGUAGAACCUUUCGGAUUUCUCUUUGCCAAUCUACUGGGACAACAUGAGUCAAGGUGACUCCUUACAGGUGAUAGACCUAGAUCAGUCAUCCACGGAGUACCAGACUCUGAAGGCAGACUUCAAGAAGACUGUCACAAAAACAGUGCUCAAGAUCCAGCGCAUCCAGAACAUGAAUCUUCGGCGGUUAUACGAGGGGCGUAAAAAAGAGCUGGAGAGCAAAAAUGGUUCUGUGGGAGCAGCAGAGAAGAUCCUAUAUCACGGCACAUCAGAGGGAUCCUGCUCAUCCAUCAUGCAGUCAAACUUUAAUCGCAAUUUUGCAGGGCAAAAUGCCACCUGCUACGGACAUGGGACGUACUUUGCUGUGAACGCCAGCUACUCUGCCCAAAAUAAGUAUGCAGUUCCUGCAGCAGACGGGACUCAGCUCAUGUUUGUGGCUCGUGUGCUAACGGGUUACCACACUCAGGGUCAGGCGGACAUGAAGACGCCCCCUGUUCGUGUGGCACCUGACCUCUAUGACAGUGUGGUGGAUAAUUUGCAGAAUCCCUCCAUGUUUGUGGUUUUCCACGACUGCAAGGCUUAUCCAGACUACCUCAUCACAUUCAAAUGAUCUUCAACAUAACCAAGUUGUCUUGAGAUCUCGAAGACUUAUAAACAGUGAUUAGUGAGAUAGUUGAUUUUACAUUUAAAUGUAAUAAUUUAGGGUAUACUUAUAUUCAGAGGGUUUGAGUUAGUUACUACACACCUUUUUUUUGCUUUAAGCUACAAUUAACAAGUGCUCAGUAAAUGUGAAUGUAUUAGUUAUGUAUAUAAUUCAGAUUAUGCAAAUUAAUAAUAGCAAAUAAAAAUUUAUGGUUUUCAGGAAAUCUUGAAAUUCACAAGAAUGUAUGAGCAGAAAAUGUGCUAUAUUAAUUGAUGAAGCAUCUGUAGAUUAUGGAACAGUAUCAUAUAAAAAAAUACUUGUGCAAACCACAGAAACCAUGCAGCUAUGAUAUUCAGCUUCAGGGCAAUUGAUUCAUCACUCCAGGAUAAAAGCAGGGCUCUUUAAAAUUUGAUUUGAUUGUAUUCCAACUCUUCCUUCUCAGUUCCCAUGUCUGCUUCAGGCUCCAUGAAGAAACCAUUUGAAAUUGUUUUGGAUGAAAUGUACAGUAGGAGUUUGUGCAAGUUGCAGACAAAGCAAUACUUUCAAUCAUUAACCCGAGUACUUCUGGGUCAUGUCAAGUCACCUUUAUUUAUAUAAUGCUUUUAACAAUACAGAUCAUGUCUGUUAAAAAUAAUUUAACUCUUUAUCUUUCGAUGCCGUCCGACUAUUCUCAGUCCUUGCAUUGGCCCAUGGGAAGAAUUAUGAACAUAAAGCCAAUUGUCUGUUCACCAACUUCUUCUAAGUUUAUUAUUACUUCCAUAAAUUAUAUAGUUGCAUUGCAAGGGGUGGUGCAGUGAUUAAUCCAAUGAGAUACAGAUUGCAUAUAUGUUGUGUAUGAUAAAUAAAGGAUCUGAACAUAUAAGGAAUAGUUUCUAGCAGAGGGAUGCUUCAACCUAAAGGACAGACGAAACCAGUAACCUGGGUCAGAGAAGGGCCCCCACCAUUUGAACCCUAAGUAUCCUAGGCAUGUGUGUAUACAUUGAGAGGAAGGGAUAAGAAUAGAGUAUAGAAGGAGAGAGCACAGACAGGCAAACUUACAAAAUAUUUUGGUAGAGAGCGUGAUAUAACCUAACAGUGUCAAAGCAACUGAACAACAUUAAUUAGGAAAAUAGUGUGUCAAUAAUGCAAAAUGACAACAGUAAAAACUAAUUUUUAAGUUAUUCAUUGAAUUCAGUGAUGUCAUCAUGGAGCUCAGUUCAGUUCUGGGAAACGUAUGAAUCCAUGAAAACUGUCUAUAUUGUAACAAAAACAUUAGUUUUUUUUCUCAUAUUAUUUGGCUUAAUUUCUACAUUAUCUGAAAAUAAUUUAGCUGCACAUAAAAUA
This is an RNA transcript of Cyprinus carpio (common carp), 3243 nucleotides long. It is a transcript of the gene named protein mono-ADP-ribosyltransferase PARP15, with no coding region annotated. The transcript has 9 exons. NCBI's taxonomy places the organism in Eukaryota, Metazoa, Chordata, Actinopteri, Cypriniformes, Cyprinidae. The record is from RefSeq and is a predicted model, not a curated record.